This is a long non-coding RNA of Alexandromys fortis (reed vole), 2455 nucleotides long. RefSeq lists it as uncharacterized. The record is from RefSeq and is a predicted model, not a curated record. NCBI's taxonomy places the organism in Eukaryota, Metazoa, Chordata, Mammalia, Rodentia, Cricetidae. The transcript has 4 exons.
GCAGCGUCUAGCCGGGACCCGGGAACUUCGCCCCGGCCUCACCAGAGGACCUAGGCGACACAGCCUGCUCAGCUGGUAGCGGCGAAACAGCAUCGCCUUGCAUUUGUUUGUUUGUCUUGUUUUGUUUUGUUUGAGGAGCGGGAGAGGAGCGAUGGUUUUUGUUUUGUUUUGUUUUGUUUUCCCAAGAAGGCCCAAGAUCUGUCUCAGACACUCUAGGUAACCCCAGUGAAAGUCAUUGGUUCAACCAAGUUGGACUUGGAUGGUAUCCAUUCGUUGCACCAGACGCCCCAAUAGUACCCAGCCCUGCUGGUGUCAGAGCUAAGAUCCCCUGGAUGAAAAUGACCGUUUUUGGUUGUACAAACAUGUGAUUGCUAACAUCGUCAACUUAACCAGAUCUAGACCCUCCUAGGAGACAGCCCUCUGAAGCCAUGGGACCAGCUGCCUCCCACUCUCAUCACCACGCCUUCCCCACCAUGACAGACUACGCGGGAAUACUGCAGCAAAAGAAAUCCCUCCUUCCUUCCAUAGUGCUUUAUCAGAUAUUUCAUCAGCACAACAAGAAAAAUAGCAAGUACAUCUCUUUGGUUUGGUUUUGUCUUCGUUUAGGCUUGGGUUUUCUUCUCCUAGUACUAGGGAUUGAAUCUACCUUUGAGCCCACUCUUUACUUGCUGUUUUCAAACAGUCUCACUAAAUUGCCCAAGCUUGCCUUGAGCCUGCAAUCCUCCUGCCUCAUCCUCUCCAGUGGCUGGGAUUAUAGACCAGCAUCACCAGGUCCAGAAUAACUCUGCCUUCAAUGCUCUGUGGACACCACCACCCAAACCAUUCUUAGACUGUUGCUUGUUGCCUAGGCUACCCUUAACAUCCCCAAGAAAUACCCCCAAAGAGACCGCUCUGUGUCGUCUCCGUGAUGAAUUUAAGCGAGCAGAUACAUUAUUGUCCUGAUGGUAUUUCUUAUCUUGUCUCCUAGGGUGAAAAGUACAGCUGCCCUUAGCUGUACUCUGCUGUUGCCUGUCUGCUCAAAUUCCUGUGAAGAGAUACCAUCUUCCGGGGGUAUCUCCCUAAAUAAAAGCAAGCCAGUGACUAGGACAAAUUAAUCACACAUUAUGCUGCAGAGACUUUAUUAUAUUCGUAAAUAUUAGUAAGAGCCAAAAAUAAUUUGCACUGAGGAAAUGCACCAGUAACCUUUUUAUAAAUACGAGCCCUAAAGCUCUAAUCAGGCAUGCAGGGUUCUUUGAAUGUCACCGUGGCUUUAAUAUGCAUCAGAAAUACACUUUGUAAAACCCAACUUAAAGGCAAGAUGUUAAAUAACUAUUUACGUCUCAUAUUCUCUCCCAAAUUAAUCAUGUUCCCCGACUCUAACAGGCCUUUUCUCUAGAGUAACUUGCACCUCGCUGGUCUGAUGAAUUUGCCAGAAUUUUAUAACUAAGGACUAUAACACAUUGUGUCGAGACAUGACACAAAAAAGGCAAGAGGCCUCAAAGGUCUGUCAGGGCCUAACGUAGAGAGCACCACACAGAAGACACCCGGUGAUUGCUUACAAGGCUGCUGUGUGGUGCCCUGUUCUCACAUCUUACCAUUGCCUCGUGUGAUAUACACAGCAGCCCUAACAUAGCAGACUGCAUGAAAAAGCUGGGACACAGAGAGGUUUUCACAACUUGCCGAGGUCACACGUACAAAGGAGAGGACCGGAAUCAAGGUGCAGACUGGCCCCUGCAAUGCUCCUGUGUGUAGAUAUGAAUCUGGUGAAACUCCAGGGUUAUGGCUUGUUUCGGUGUGUAUUGUUGCUCGCCUAUGCUCGCUCUGUUUCACUGAGAUGAAAUGUUCCAAAAAGGAGAGCCUGUUCCGAUGUGGCCUUUGCCUUCUAUCACGUCAGCACCAGACAGGCCUGCAAAGAGCCUUCUUUCAGAAAACAAUGGACAUCCACAGUAAUUUCCUUUUUUAAUAUUUUUAAAGUGAUAUCAGCCUUUUUUUUUUUUACACCUUUGAUUACCAUCGAAUAAUACCUCAGAAUUUCCAAGUCCAUUGAAGAAAAAGAGCAAAUAAACUCCCGAGUUCUCUUGUUCUAUAACUUUCAGUUUGUUUCAGCUUUUAUGAUUUUAUUUUGCGAUGGGCUCCCAUUCAGCAGCCCAGACAGGACUCACACAUUUGCUGCCCUCCUUCAGUCUCCCAAACUGCUGCAAUUUCAGACCAGUGCCAUCAGGCCCAACUCGUAGUGUUUGAAGUAACCACUUGCUGUGUAACGCAGACUGUCCUGGAACUCAUAAUUCCCCGGCCUCAAGCCUAACCAAAUCCUGGGGUUGCAAGUGCAGAUGACCACAUGGAACUCCUUUGUAUUAGUAUUAUCUGUGUAUUUGUAAGAAGAAAACAAUGUAUUUAUUCUCAAUAUGAGGGAACUGAAUCCAAGGCCCCUUACACAUCAAGCAAGUACUGUAUCCCUAAGCUGCAUCCCCGGUUA